UAAAAUAAAUGCGAAAAAAUAAAAUAAAAAACCAUGGGUUGCCUCCCACACAAUGCUUGUUUAACGUCAUUAGCUUGACGAUCGGAAGUUAUACACCUGUAGUAGGGAUUGGUGGAUCAAUCAGAGUGUGGCUUGAGUAGUCUGCUGGAAUGUCUCCUCCUUCGUAGAGCUUUAGUCUUUGUCCAUUUACAAUGAAUGGACUACAAGUCUCGUUUUUU
RNAcentral lists this long non-coding RNA (218 nucleotides) under Lathyrus oleraceus (garden pea). RNAcentral describes it as "Pisum sativum (pea) long non-coding RNA (PSAT_LNC033153)". The record is from RNAcentral. Lineage: Eukaryota; Viridiplantae; Streptophyta; Magnoliopsida; Fabales; Fabaceae.